This 262-nucleotide ribosomal RNA is filed under the name uncultured bacterium. RNAcentral describes it as "partial 16S ribosomal RNA". It matches the Rfam family "Bacterial small subunit ribosomal RNA", at positions 793 to 1055 of the family's 1533-position model. The record is from RNAcentral.
GUCCACGCAGUAAACGAUGCAGACUAGGCGUGGGGGGACUUGACCCCCUCCGUGCCGAAGCUAACGCGUGAAGUCUGCCGCCUGGGGAGUACGGCCGCAAGGCUAAAACUCAAAGGAAUUGACGGGGGCCCGCACAAGCGGCGGAGCGUGCGGUUUAAUUCGACGCAACGCGUAGAACCUUACCAGGGCUUGACAUGCACCUGCAGAGCCGUGAAAGCGGUUGGCCUUCGAGGGUGGUGCACAGGUGCUGCAUGGCUGUCGU